CCAAUAGCGUAUAUUAAAGUUGUUGCAGUUAAAAAGCUCGUAGUUGAACUUCAGGCCUGUCCAGAUGGUCCGCCUUAAUUGGUGUGUACUGUCCUUGGGUGGGUCCUACCUUCUGGCGAAGCGGCAUGGCCUUAGUUGGUUGUGUCGGGGAACCAGGACUUUUACUGUGAAAAAAUUAGAGUGUUCAAAGCAGGCAUAUAUGCUCGAAUACAUUAGCAUGGAAUAAUGGAAUAGGACGAUGGUUCUAUUUUGUUGGUUCUAGGACCGUUGUAAUGAUUAAUAGGGAUAGUUGGGGGCAUUAGUAUUCAAUUGUCAGAGGUGAAAUUCUUGGAUUUAUUGAAGACUAACUACUGCGAAAGCAUUUGCCAAGGAUGUUUUCAUUAAUCAAGAACGAAAGUUAGGGGAUCGAAGACGGUCAGAUACCGUCGUAGUCUUAACCAUAAACUAUGCCGACUAGGAAUCGGGCGAUGUUGACAAAAUGACUCGCUCGGCACCUCAUG
RNAcentral lists this ribosomal RNA (500 nucleotides) under uncultured Glomeromycotina. Its description in RNAcentral is "partial small subunit ribosomal RNA". It matches the Rfam family "Eukaryotic small subunit ribosomal RNA", at positions 591 to 1092 of the family's 1831-position model. Lineage: Eukaryota; Fungi; Glomeromycota. The record is from RNAcentral.